CACAAUCCCAUUUUUAUAUUAUUUUUCUCUCUUCCUCUCACGUUGCUCGGCGUUUUCUCGCAAGGGAGAUUAUUUUCUUUUUCUUCAGAUUAUAUUGACAAAGAUAGUGGUGAAAAAGGAGUUGUGAAGGGGAACUUGUUAUUCAAGACACAAGGAGCGAGUCCGGCCGAGAAAGCACCAGAGGUGUAACUAUGGUGUAUGAGACACCAUCUUUUACGUUGCCUCUUAUUUUGGAUUAUACAAUGUAUCUUGUGCCAACUUAGGACAUAUCUUCUUUGUGAAGCAUGUAAACUCUAAUCCUUUUUAUUAAAAGUAU
Prosopis cineraria is the source of this 316-nucleotide long non-coding RNA. RefSeq lists it as uncharacterized. The record is from RefSeq and is a predicted model, not a curated record. NCBI's taxonomy places the organism in Eukaryota, Viridiplantae, Streptophyta, Magnoliopsida, Fabales, Fabaceae. The transcript is spliced from 3 exons.